GGGGCCGACCUGGUUUCGACAGCGGCUACGAUGUGCGUGCAAGCAUGCAGAGCGGUGAUGAACGGCUCUUCAAAACGAUCAUCGCGCCCUAACCGGCGAAGUAGACUACGCACUCGCUGCUUAAUAGCCUAAGGCUAUGAGGCUUUAUCCGCGCGAAUAACAGUAACGCGGACGAGUACCCCUCGGGGAGGCCCGCAACCCUCCUUCCCGAACCAGGGGUAUCACCAUGGGAAGCUGGCCGAUGCGGUGGUCCGGAGCAUCGGUGAGACAACAGGACCUAAGUCCUCGCUGGGGUGCCUCUUCCCAGGCGGGGAUCGAAAACCAACAAGAAGGCUAAGCAUGUAGAAAACCCGUGCUUCGGUCGUUUGGACGAGGGUUCGAAUCCCUCCGGCUCCACAA
This 399-nucleotide transfer-messenger RNA is filed under the name Flavobacteriales bacterium. It matches the Rfam family "transfer-messenger RNA". From Rfam's summary of the family: Bacterial tmRNA, also known as 10Sa RNA or SsrA, is named for its dual tRNA and mRNA-like properties. Its role is to liberate the mRNA from a stalled ribosome. The record is from RNAcentral. Lineage: Bacteria; Pseudomonadati; Bacteroidota; Flavobacteriia; Flavobacteriales.